Molecule: transfer RNA, 72 nt
Filed under: Camelus bactrianus (Bactrian camel)
Lineage: Eukaryota; Metazoa; Chordata; Mammalia; Artiodactyla; Camelidae
Also listed under: 2 other names
Rfam family: tRNA
About the family: Transfer RNA (tRNA) molecules are approximately 80 nucleotides in length.
Source: Rfam by way of RNAcentral
GAAGGGAUAGCUCAGUGGUAGAGUGCCUGCCUAGCAUUUACAAGGUUCUGGGUUCAAUCCCCAGUACCUCCA